Molecule: ribosomal RNA, 492 nt
Filed under: uncultured bacterium
Lineage: Bacteria
Description: partial 16S ribosomal RNA
Rfam family: Bacterial small subunit ribosomal RNA
Source: RNAcentral
AGUGAACGCUGGCGGUAGGCCUAACACAUGCAAGUCGAACGGCAGCACAGUAAUUGCUUGCUCUUCCCGGUGGCGAGUGGCGGACGGGUGAGGAAUAUAUCGGAAUCUUCUUUUUCGUGGGGGAUAACGUAGGUGAACCUACGCUCAUAUCGCAUAUCACGUACCGUUGAGAGCAGGGGAACUUUUGGCCUUUUGCGAAUGAAUGAGCCGCUGUCGGAUUAGCUAGUUGGCGGGGUAAAGGCCCACCCGGUCGAGGAUCCGUAGCUGGUCUGAGUGGAUGAUCAGCGACACUGGAACUGGGACACGGUCCAGACGCCUACGGGAGGCAGCAGUGGGGAAUAUUGGGCAAUAGGCGCAAGCCUGAUCCAGCCAUACGGCGUCGGAGGAGAAGGCCUUCGGGUUGUAAAGACCUUUUGUUGGGAGAGAAAAGCAGCAGGUUGAUACGACGCUGUUGUGACGGUACCCAAAGAAGAAGCACCGGCUAACUACGUG